RNAcentral lists this transfer RNA (71 nucleotides) under Minisyncoccota bacterium. RNAcentral's name for it is "tRNA-Gly". It matches the Rfam family "tRNA". Rfam says of the family: Transfer RNA (tRNA) molecules are approximately 80 nucleotides in length. Lineage: Bacteria; Bacillati; Minisyncoccota. The record is from RNAcentral.
GCGGGAUUAGUUUAGUGGUAGAAUAACUGCCUUCCAAGCAGUGGACAAGGGUUCGAUUCCCUUAUCCCGCA